AUAUCAUUUCCAUCGGGAUUACUAGAAUAAGGUGUUUCAGAUUCUUCUUUUAUAUUAUAUUCUCGUUUGUUAUUUUCAUUAUUAUCUAACAUAUGCGUUUGUUUGCGUAAGUCAACAUCUUUAUUUUGUUUUAUAUUAUCAAGUGUUUCUUGUGGUUUCCCUUUUUCGGUUAGUUUUUCUAGUGGACUGCUUGGGAGUUCCGUUCCCUGUAUGUUUUCUUCUUUUAUAUCACUAUCGACACAACAUUCGUUACUGUUUGUCACCUUUGGUGAACCUUGUUGGUGCUCUUGUUGGUGCUCUUGUUGGUGCUCUUGUUGGUUCUCUUGUUGGUGCUCUUGUUGGUGCUCUGGUUGGUGCUCUUGUUGGUGUUCUUGUUGUUGCUCAUGUUGCUGAUCAUGCUGUUCAUGUUGCCGAUCUUGUUGUUGUUCUUUCUUUUGUUCAUUGGAAUCAUCUUCCAAAUCAUUAGAAUAACUCGAAUAGUUAGCCAAAUUAAAAUUAUUUUUAUAAGUUAUAUUAGGAUGUGAGGAAUGUACCUGAUUAUAAUUUGUUUCAUUAAAUUUUUGAUAAAUUUUCAUAUCACUAUCAUGCAAAUGAUCAAUGAUGUUAUUAUUUUUCGGUGAUGUUAUAUCAAAAUUAAUAAUUUUUUUUUGUUUUGUUUUGUUUAAAAUUUCUAAGUUUUCAUAUUCGUUUUUGUUAUUAUUAUUACUAUUAUUAUUAUUAUUAUUAUUACUGUUAUAAAUAUUAUGAUCAUUACUAUUUCCAAAUUGUUUAGAUAUAUCUACUGGUGUUUUAGGUCUAUCAAUAUAAUCAUUUUUAUUAUCUUUUAAUGACGUGUUUUGUAUCAAUGGGUGAGCUAAAUUAAAUACAUAAGAUAAACUUUUACUUAUAUAUUUAUAAUAUGAUACUCCUUUUUGUUUAUUCGGAGUAUCAUCACUAGCAUCAUUGUUUGGGUUAAAAUUGGUUGAAUAACUAGAACUACUCCUAUUACGUAAUGUUGGUUCAUCAUAUAUUCUAUUAUAAAUACUUUUUAAUAGCACUUGAAUAAAUCCACAAGUGUCUUCA
Molecule: long non-coding RNA, 1062 nt
Filed under: Piliocolobus tephrosceles (Ugandan red Colobus)
Lineage: Eukaryota; Metazoa; Chordata; Mammalia; Primates; Cercopithecidae
Description: lncRNA (ENSPTEG00000007794.1)
Source: RNAcentral